This 425-nucleotide ribosomal RNA is filed under the name uncultured bacterium. RNAcentral describes it as "bacterial SSU rRNA". It matches the Rfam family "Bacterial small subunit ribosomal RNA", at positions 359 to 776 of the family's 1533-position model. The record is from RNAcentral.
GAAUAUUGGACAAUGGGGGCAACCCUGAUCCAGCCAUGCCGCGUGUGUGAAGAAGGCCCUCGGGUUGUAAAGCACUUUCAGCGAGGAAGAACGCCUAUCGGUUAAUACCCGGUAGGAAAGACAUAACUCGCAGAAGAAGCCACGGCUAACUCCGUGCCAGCAGCCGCGGUAAUACGGAGGGGGCAAGCGUUAAGCGGAAUUACUGGGCGUAAAGCGCGCGUAGGUGGCUUGAUAAGCCGGGUGUGAAAGCCCCGGGCUCGACCUGGGAACGGCAUCCGGAACUGUCAGGCUAGAGUGCAGGAGAGGAAGGUAGAAUUCCCGGUGUAGCGGUGAAAUGCGUAGAGAUCGGGAGGAAUACCAGUGGCGAAGGCGGCCUUCUGGACUGACACUGACACUGAGGUGCGAAAGCGUGGGUAGCAAACAGG